RNAcentral lists this long non-coding RNA (590 nucleotides) under Monodelphis domestica (gray short-tailed opossum). RNAcentral's name for it is "lncRNA (ENSMODG00000048182.1)". The record is from RNAcentral. Lineage: Eukaryota; Metazoa; Chordata; Mammalia; Didelphimorphia; Didelphidae.
CUGAAGGCCGCUGUGGGGACCUCAGCAGUGGCGGCUUUGCAGGAGGAGGAGGAGUGCCGACCGCCCACGAAGAGCCUCGCCUCGCCUCACGGCGCAGGCUAGGGUCGGUGCACAGUGGCCAGUUCCAGCCAGGCAAGCGGGGCUAGCCUAGGCAGAGUGGCCCGGACUCGGGGAGCCCCGCACGUGCGCUCGGGACAAAGGCGUGGCCGGGAAUAAAUGUUUUUUCCUUCUCUCUACCCUUUUGCAUUUCUUGAAACGUUCCCAGAUUUAACUGAGAGUCUGAGCUGGAGGAAUGGGGAGUGGAGGGAUGACAGUGAAGCAAAAGAAGACAAAGACCUGGGCCAAAGAAGUCCUGUGGAAAAGUGAUCCUUUGACAGGUAAAUAACGAAGAUUUAUUUGUAUCCUGCCAAGAAAAGAAAACAUUGCACUCUCUGUGAAACCAGGCAAAGGGAGAGACUUAAAUUAGAAGUCAUUCUCGGAAGCACUUGCAGAUGUGCAGAUUAAGAGAAAAAUAAUCCAGACAAAUAUGUAUGCGGUAUAUUUUACUCCCAUGAAAUAAAACACAUUUUUUCAUGUUUGCUGAAAAGUAA